This 267-nucleotide ribosomal RNA is filed under the name Staphylococcus aureus. RNAcentral's name for it is "partial 16S ribosomal RNA". It matches the Rfam family "Bacterial small subunit ribosomal RNA", at positions 1268 to 1533 of the family's 1533-position model. The record is from RNAcentral. RNAcentral also lists the same sequence under 1 other name. Lineage: Bacteria; Bacillati; Bacillota; Bacilli; Caryophanales; Staphylococcaceae.
CAAAUCCCAUAAAGUUGUUCUCAGUUCGGAUUGUAGUCUGCAACUCGACUACAUGAAGCUGGAAUCGCUAGUAAUCGUAGAUCAGCAUGCUACGGUGAAUACGUUCCCGGGUCUUGUACACACCGCCCGUCACACCACGAGAGUUUGUAACACCCGAAGCCGGUGGAGUAACCUUUUAGGAGCUAGCCGUCGAAGGUGGGACAAAUGAUUGGGGUGAAGUCGUAACAAGGUAGCCGUAUCGGAAGGUGCGGCUGGAUCACCUCCUUU